GCAUAGCUCAGCUGGGAGAGCAUCUGCCUUACAAGCAGGGGGUCACAGGUUCGAGCCCUGUUGU
Molecule: transfer RNA, 64 nt
Filed under: Clostridium botulinum
Lineage: Bacteria; Bacillati; Bacillota; Clostridia; Eubacteriales; Clostridiaceae
Description: tRNA-Val
Rfam family: tRNA
About the family: Transfer RNA (tRNA) molecules are approximately 80 nucleotides in length. Their secondary structure includes four short double-helical elements and three loops (D, anti-codon, and T loops).
Source: RNAcentral